This 496-nucleotide ribosomal RNA is filed under the name uncultured bacterium. RNAcentral's name for it is "partial 16S ribosomal RNA". It matches the Rfam family "Bacterial small subunit ribosomal RNA", at positions 28 to 507 of the family's 1533-position model. The record is from RNAcentral.
GAUGAACGCUGGCGGCGUGCCUAAUACAUGCAAGUCGAGCGAACGGACGAGAAGCUUGCUUUUCUGAUGUUAGCGGCGGACGGGUGAGUAACACGUGGAUAACCUACCUAUAAGACUGGGAUACUUCGGGAAACCGGAGCUAAUACCGGAUAAUUUUUUGAACCGCAUGGUUCAAAAGUUAAAGUCGGUCUUUUUGUCACUUAUAGAUGGAUCCGCGCUGCAUUAGCUAGUUGGUAAGGUAACGGCUUACCAAGGCAACGAAGCAUAGCCGACCUGAGAGGGUGCUCGGCCACACUGGAACUGAGACACGGUCCAGACUCCUACGGGAGGCAGCAGUAGGGAAUCUUCCGCAAUGGGCGAAAUCCUGAAGGAGCAACGCCGCGUGAGUGAUGAAGGUCUUCGGAUCGUAAAACUCUGUUAUUAGUGAAGAACAUAUGUGUAAGUAACUGUGCACAUCUUGACGGUACCUAAUCAGAAAGCCACGGCUAACUACGUG